RNAcentral lists this ribosomal RNA (713 nucleotides) under Halobacillus sp. LYG1-4. RNAcentral describes it as "bacterial SSU rRNA". It matches the Rfam family "Bacterial small subunit ribosomal RNA", at positions 90 to 799 of the family's 1533-position model. The record is from RNAcentral. Lineage: Bacteria; Bacillati; Bacillota; Bacilli; Caryophanales; Bacillaceae.
CUGGCUCAGUCGACAGGUGAGUAACGUAUAGGAAUCUGCCCGAUAGUGGGGGAUAACCUGGGGAAACUCAGGCUAAUACCGCAUACGUCCUACGGGAGAAAGCAGGGGAUCUUCGGACCUUGCGCUAUCGGAUGAGCCUAUGUCGGAUUAGCUUGUUGGUGAGGUAAUGGCUCACCAAGGCGACGAUCCGUAGCUGGUCUGAGAGGAUGAUCAGCCACAUCGGGACUGAGACACGGCCCGAACUCCUACGGGAGGCAGCAGUGGGGAAUAUUGGACAAUGGGCGAAAGCCUGAUCCAGCCAUGCCGCGUGUGUGAAGAAGGCUUUCGGGUUGUAAAGCACUUUCAGUGAGGAAGAACGCCUUCGGCUUAAUACGCCGGAGGAAAGACAUCACUCACAGAAGAAGCACCGGCUAACUCCGUGCCAGCAGCCGCGGUAAUACGGAGGGUGCGAGCGUUAAUCGGAAUUACUGGGCGUAAAGCGCGCGUAGGUGGCUUGAUAAGCCGGUUGUGAAAGCCCCGGGCUCAACCUGGGAACGGCAUCCGGAACUGUCAGGCUAGAGUGCAGGAGAGGAAGGUAGAAUUCCCGGUGUAGCGGUGAAAUGCGUAGAGAUCGGGAGGAAUACCAGUGGCGAAGGCGGCCUUCUGGACUGACACUGACACUGAGGUGCGAAAGCGUGGGUAGCAAACAGGAUUAGAUACCCUGGUAGUCCACC